GCCGUCGUCGACCAGUGGAAGGUCAUCCUCGAAAUGUGAUUCCAGCUCAUUGUACAUCGGAGGGGAAGACGGGGGUUCGAUUCCCCUUGGCGGCU
Mycena latifolia is the source of this 95-nucleotide non-coding RNA. Lineage: Eukaryota; Fungi; Basidiomycota; Agaricomycetes; Agaricales; Mycenaceae. The record is from the annotation of a GenBank genome assembly.